CCCUUAGAUGUUCUGGGCUGCACACGUGCUACACUGGCAGGUUCAGCGAGCUUCAUGCCCUGAUCUGAAAGGAAUGGGAAAUCUUUUCAAAACCUGCCGUGCUUGGGAUAGAUGUUUGCAAUUAUUCAUCUUCAACGAGGAUUGCCUUGUAAGCGCACGUCAUCAGCGUGCAUUGAAUACGUCCCUGCCCUUUGUACACACCGCCAGUCGCUCCUACCGAUUGAGUGGUCCGGUGAGGCUUUGGGAUCUGAGCGGAAAGAGCGUUUCGCUGUUUCUGCUCGGAAAACUCAGUCGAACCUUAUCAUUUAGAGGAAGGAGAAGUCGUAACA
This 329-nucleotide ribosomal RNA is filed under the name uncultured eukaryote. Its description in RNAcentral is "partial 18S ribosomal RNA". It matches the Rfam family "Eukaryotic small subunit ribosomal RNA", at positions 1470 to 1796 of the family's 1831-position model. The record is from RNAcentral.